AUGCUUACUUAGGCAGCAUGUAUACUAAAUUUGAAAUGAUAGAGAAGCCUGGCAUGCCCCUUGCAUAAGGAUAAUAUGCAAAUUCAUGAAGCAUUCCUUAUUUCA
Molecule: small nuclear RNA, 105 nt
Organism: Sciurus carolinensis (gray squirrel)
Lineage: Eukaryota; Metazoa; Chordata; Mammalia; Rodentia; Sciuridae
Source: RefSeq, a predicted model, not a curated record